RNAcentral lists this ribosomal RNA (253 nucleotides) under uncultured bacterium. RNAcentral's name for it is "partial 16S ribosomal RNA". It matches the Rfam family "Bacterial small subunit ribosomal RNA", at positions 524 to 776 of the family's 1533-position model. The record is from RNAcentral.
UACAGAGGUGGCAAGCGUUGUUCGGAAUCACUGGGCGUAAAGCGCACGUAGGCGGAUCGUUAAGUCAGGGGUGAAAUCCUGGAGCUCAACUCCAGAACUGCCUUUGAUACUGGCGACCUUGAGUUCGGGAGAGGUGAGUGGAACUGCGAGUGUAGAGGUGGAAUGCGUAGAGAUCCGGAAGAACACCGGUGGCGAAGGCGGCCUGCUGGGCAGUAGCUGACACUGAGGCGCGACAGCGUGGGGAGCAAACAGG